Molecule: long non-coding RNA, 1005 nt
Organism: Oncorhynchus tshawytscha (Chinook salmon)
Lineage: Eukaryota; Metazoa; Chordata; Actinopteri; Salmoniformes; Salmonidae
Source: Ensembl
AGCAGUUUUAUUAUCUAACUUUUUUUUAAAGACAUCGAACUUGUCUUCUUUUUUAAUCAAACACAUGUAACUUUGCAGUUCAUUAUGUUGUUAUUGUAUUACUGUUACUAAUAUUACUCCUCUCAUUGUUAUAGUGGACCUGAUCCUUGCUACGGGCUGGUAGCAAUGUCAUAUGAUUAGCUCUAGCAACCGGUUUGCAUAUUUGAGGGGAAUGGGACGUUUGAGAGAGAUGGUCCUCACCUGUGCCUCUUUCCCUCUCUUUUGUCUUCCCUUUCAACACCCUCACUUCGCCCCAGCAAGGACCUGGGGUGACAAAUAUUUUUAUUAAUUUCAAUGAGGGAUAACAAAAAGAGGGUUGACAUUUGUAUUCGUUUUAAGUGUAAUAAGUAUGUUUUUGGACAACCCUGAAAACCGCUCUCUCUCUCUCACUCCCCUGCUAGUAAGGUUUGAUUCUAUAGCCUCCUCCUUCCUCCCUCUUUUCCUUCCAUUCAUCCUUCCUUACUGUUCUCUCUAGAUCUUUUUUUGGGGUGGGAGGAGGUAAGCCUGGAGGGGGCAGGGCAGUAUAUAGAGUGGUAGGGUAUAAUAUUGGUUGUCUUUGUGCAAGACCUGGUUGUUGUACAUAUUAUUUACUGUAGUCAGGAGACUCACUAUAAUAUUAAGGAACAAUGUGUACCUGACUUGUAUUGACUUUUAAAAGACGACAUUACACAACGUCAAACUCCCAAAAUUGACAAAUUAUUAUUAACGUUUUACUCCUUGUUUUACUGAGAUACAGUUUGCAAGAUAAACUUAAAUUAUUCAUAAAUGUACAUCUAUCUUUCAGUAUACAAAUAAAUGUUCAAGGUAACAUAUUUUUCACUAGUUUUUAAUGUACACACAGCUGAACCACCAAUUAUUGAUGAUUUAUUAUUAUCCAACUAUACUGAACAAAAAUAUAAACGCAACAUGUAAAGUGUUGGUCCCAUGUUUCAUGAACGGAAAUAAAAUAUCCCAGAAAUGUUCCAA